UUAAGUUUGGCCCCAAUUUCAUUCAUUCAUUUGUUCAUACAUUCAGGGACUGCCCCCUGGACUUCACAGCAUGCUAGAGGCUGGGUUGGACCCCUACCCUUCAGGUUUAUAGAUCAACCAUCUUUGACAAAUGUAUACACCUGUGUAAUCUGCACCCCGACCAAGACAUAGACCAUUUCCAUGAGUCUGGAAAGUUCCCUGGAGUUUUGUUGCAGUCACCUGCCACCCACCCCCCUCACCAUCAAGCCACGUCUGAUCCAGUUUCCAUCACUAUCUCUCAGUUGAAAUUUUCAUUUGCUUUCAUUUUGCCUGUUGUACCCUUUCCCUUUCCCUUCCCUUUCUUUUUUUCUUUUUUUUUGAGAUGGGGUAUUGCUCUGUUGCCCAGGCUGGAGUGAAGUGGUGUGAUCACAGCUCACUGCAGCCUUGACCUCCCAGACUCAAGCAACCCUCCCACGUCAGCCUCCAGAGUAACAGGGACUACAGGUGUGCACCACUACUGGCUAAUUUCUAAAUUUUUUAUAAAGAUGAGGUCUUGCUAUGUUGCCCAGGCCUGGGCUCAAGUGAGCCUCCCACCUCAGUCUCCCAAGGUGCUGGGAUUAUAGAUAUGAGCCACCACACCCAGCCGUGUUUUACACAAGGAGAGCACAUGUCUCCUUGGUAAAACAAUAUUCAUUUUCCUAUAACCUAUCUUUUUCAACCAUUGCCAGUAAUGGCCAGAUAAAAUACAUGAACACAAACACAGACGCGUGCACAUACGUGUACCUAUGUACACACACAAUCCUCUCACAUAUGCACAUUCACACUUACACACAUACAUGCAUUACACAAACUUACAUAUAUGCAUACAAAUAUAGGUUAAGGAAACUUUUUCAAGGCUCAAAAAGAUCUAGGCCAUGGUGAGACAGAACACAGUUGUGUUUUUACUGAAACCCCUCGUGAUAGUGCACACAUGAACACACAUGCACACAAGCCCCAAAGCUGAGAAUCAUUUGCCAUCACUUCCUGCUCCCCUGUCAGAGUCAGCGCAAGAGGAGAAAAAUCGGAAUUCUUUCCCUGUCUCAAAAGUAAAAGGGACAAAUUAGUUUCUUGUCAGUGCACUGCAAUAAAUACAUUGUCAUUUUUAUCCCCCAGUGAAUCAUAGUCUCCAUUUCUCCCGUAACUAUUAUACAGUCUG
RNAcentral lists this long non-coding RNA (1174 nucleotides) under Homo sapiens (human). RNAcentral describes it as "HSALNT0267084". Lineage: Eukaryota; Metazoa; Chordata; Mammalia; Primates; Hominidae. The record is from RNAcentral.